RNAcentral lists this ribosomal RNA (254 nucleotides) under uncultured bacterium. RNAcentral describes it as "partial 16S ribosomal RNA". It matches the Rfam family "Bacterial small subunit ribosomal RNA", at positions 524 to 776 of the family's 1533-position model. The record is from RNAcentral.
UACGUAGGGGCCAAGCGUUGUCCGGAUUUAUUGGGCGUAAAGAGCUCGUAGGCGGUUCGGCAAGUCAGCUGUGAAAUCUCCACGCUCAACGUGGAGGGGUCAGCUGAUACUGCUGUGACUUGAGUCCGGUAGGGGAGUGUGGAAUUCCCGGUGUAGCGGUGAAAUGCGCAGAUAUCAGGAGGAACACCAAUGGCGAAGGCAGCACUCUGGGACGUGACUGACGCUGAGACGCGAAAGCGUGGGGAGCAAACAGG